AAAGACCUCUGGUUAUUGGUAAUUAGCUUGAGGAGAAUAAAAACAGCCGAUCGGGAGAGGGGUGGUGCAUUGUGGAGCGAGAUGGCUAACAGAAAGGUUCUAUCACUCCUUCAUGGAUUCUUCUACCUAGCUCUGAUUCAGCCCUCACUUCAAGGAGGUGUGUACGUGCCGGCUGGUGCUGGAGUUGGAGCAGGAGGUGCUGGACCAGGUGCUGGUCUCUACCCAGGUGCUGGUGGGAUACCCGCAGGAGCAGGCUACAAACCAGCUAAAACUGGAGCUGGAGGAUAUGGAGGAUGGGGUGGUGUUGGUGCUGGAGGUCUGGUCCCUGGUGGCGGGGCUGGAGGUCUGGUCCCUGGUGGCGGGGCUGGAGGCAUAGGAGCGUUAGGCCACAGAGGAGGAGGAGCUGGUGGAAAAGGCCUCAAACCUGGUUAUGGACACCUUGGUGCUGGUGGUGUUGGGGUUGGUGGUCUUGGUGGUGGAGGAUAUGGAGCUGGUCCUGGAGCAGGCAGUCUAGGAGUAGGAGCCCUUGGAGGAGGAUACGCUAAGCCUGGAGCUGGUUAUGGAGGAGGCUCGCCAUAUGGAGGCUCACCGUAUGGAGGAGGUGGUGCUGGGGGCUACUUCCCUGGAGGUGGGCUGGGACAGAAGGCAGGACCCAAGCCAGGCUAUGGGGCAGGAGGUGGACUACAACCAGGCUAUGGCGGACCAAUGCAGCCAGGAGUAUUCCAUGGAUACCCACUCAAAACACCCAAAACACAAGGUGGCUAUGGAGCAAAAGUUGGAGGAGCUGGAGGCAAACUUCCAUUUGGAUAUGGAGGCUUUGGUGGUGGUGGUGGAGCAGGCCUUCCUGGUGGAAAAGGUGGUCCUGGAUCCAAGCCUGGAUACCCCAUUGGAACUGGUGUUGGGACAGGAGGUCUUAACCCGGCCCAGGCUCAGGCUAAAGCUGCUAAAUAUGGUGCUGGUCCUGGUUUGGGUGGUGUGCCUGGUGCAGGUGGAGCUUACCCUGGAGCAGGAGGAGCUUACCCUGGAGCAGGAGGAGCUUACCCUGGAGGAGUCCCAGGAGGUGCGGGUGGGGUCCCAGGUCUUGGAUCAGUAGCAGGAGGAGCAGGAGGAGUACCUGGAUGGUUACCCGCAGGAGCUGGAGGAUAUAACCCUGCUGCGGCCAAAGCUGCUAAAUAUGGAGUUCCAGGGGGUGCAGGUGCAGGCCUAGGAGCUGGAGGAUUUGGUGGGGUACCAGGAGGAGGAGGAGGGGGUGUACCUGGGGCCGGAGGACUCCCAGGAGGAGGUGCAGGCAGGCUCCCAGGUGCUGGCUCAGUCGCAGGAGGAGCAGGAGGAGUACCUGGGGCUGGAGGAUAUAAUCCUGCUGCGGCCAAAGCCGCUAAAUAUGGAGUUCCAGGAGGAGCAGGUGCAGGGUUAGGAGGAGCUGGAGGCUAUGGAGCGGGAGCCAGGCCUCCCUAUUACGGUGUUCCAGGGGGUGCUGGAUUUGGGGGAGCAGGAGCUUUUCCAGGGUCUGGAGGAUUCAACCCUGCCGCCGCCGCCAAAGCUGCUAAAUAUGGGGUCCCAGGAGGUACAGGGGCAGGCCUAGGAGCUGGAGGUCUUGGAGGAACAGGAGGGGUACCAGCAGGAGGAGCUGGGGCUGGAGGUGUCCCCGGAGGUGCAGGAGCAGGCCUAGGAGCAGGAGGAGUACCAGGAGGAGGAGCAGGGGGGGUACCUGGGGCUGGAGGAUAUAAUCCUGCUGCAGCCAAAGCAGCUAAAUAUGGAGUUCCAGGAGGUACAGGAGCAAGCCUAGGAGCUGGAGGACUUGGAGGAGGAUAUGGAGGAGCAGGAGGGGCUGGGGCUGGAGGAUAUAACCCUGCUGCGGCCAAAGCUGCUAAAUAUGGAGUUCCCGGAGGUGCAGGAGCAGGCCUAGGAGCUGGGGGAGCAGGAGGAGUACCAGGAGGAGGAGCAGGGGGUGUACCUGGGGCUGGAGGAUAUUAUCCCGCUGCGGCCAAAGCUGCUAAAUAUGGAGUUCCAGGAGGCCUAGGAACAGGCUUAGGAGGAGGAGGACUUGGAGGAGUACAGGGAGGAGUACCUGGAGGAGGAGCAGGGGGUGUACCUGGGGCUGGAGGAUAUAAUCCUGCUGCAGCCAAAGCUGCUAAAUAUGGUCAGGGGGCUGCUGGUGGGCCAGGGGGUGGAUAUGGUGGCGUGCCUGCUGGAGGAUAUCCCAGGCCUGGGGGCUAUGGGGGGUAUGGAGGGGCAGGAGCUGGAGGGUAUAAUCCUGCUGUGGCCAAAGCUGCUAAAUAUGUCCCAGGAGCUGGAGGAGCAGGCCUAGGAGCUGGAGGAGCAGGCCUAGGAGGAGCAGGAGGAGUACCAGGGCCUGGGGCUGGACCAGGAUAUGGAGGCUAUGGAGGAUAUGGAGGGGUACCAGCAGGAGGGGCUGCUGCUGCGGCCAAAGCUGCUAAAUAUGGAGUACCAGGAGGUGCAGGAGCAGGCCUUGGAGCUGGAGGACUUGGAGGAGCAGGAGGAGUACCAGGGGCUGGAGGAUAUAACCCUGCAGUGGCCAAAGCGGCUAAAUAUGGAGUCCCCGGAGGUGCAGGAGCAGGCAUAAGAGCUGGAGGAACAGGAGGAUUACCAGGAGGAGGAGCAGGGGGUGUACCUGGGGCUGGAGGAUAUAAUCCCGCUGCAGCCAAAGCUGCUAAAUAUGGAGUCCCAGGAGGUGUAGGAACAGGCCUAGGAGCAGGAGGACUUGGAGGAGGAGGACAGGGAGGAGUACCUGGACAAGUAGGAGCUGGAGGAUAUGAUCCCGCAGCCAAAGCUGCUAAAUAUGGUAUGCCAAGUGGGGCGGGCAUCGGUGGAGAAGGUGUGCCAGCACCUAUAGCGACUCCAAGACCAGGUGUGGGCGUGGGUGGUGGUGUUGGAGGAACUGCCAUUGAGCGCACUGACGUACCAGUGGGCACAGGGAUACCUAUCGCAGGCAAACCAGCAGAGGAUUCAUCUCUAGAACCCAGUGGAACUCCCAUCCCAGAUCCCACACCUAUUGGCACAGAGGCCCCAGAGCCAGAGCCCAGUGCCACAGGAGUAACUGGAGUUGGGGCUGGGGUUCUUCAACCUAGUGUUGGUACAGGCCCAGCUCAGCCUGGUGUGGGUGUCGGAGCAGGUGGCAAAGCUCCUAAACCCCCUGGUGCAGGGGGAUACCCGUAUGGUGGUUAUGGACAGGGUGCUGGUGGAUAUCCCUAUGGAGGAGGACAUGGAAAUCCAUACGGAGCAGGAGCUGGACAACUUCCUGGAGCCAAGCCCCUGAAACCUCCAGUUGUGGGAGGAGCAGGUGGUGUGGCUGGAGGAGCAGGUAUCCCUCUUACUGGAGCAGGUGGUGGUGCAGGGGGAUACCCGUAUGGUUAUGGUCAAGGUGGUUAUGGACAGGGACAGGGUGUGAGGUAUCCCACUGGUGUUGGUCUGGGGGCAGGAGCAGGUCAAAAAGCACCCAAACCCCCAGGUUAUGGUAACCUAGGUGCUGGUGGUGCUGGUUAUAAUCCAGGUGCUGGUGCGGUCCCAGGUUACGGCGGUGGCUACCCACAACAACAGGGUUACCCACAGCAAGGUGGCAGCUACCCACAACAACCCUACCCAGGAGCAUAUGGAGCAGGCCAGACGGCACCACUGACUCCUCAACAAGCCAAAGCAGCCAAGUAUGGCCCACUCCAGGGCUUCCUUGGUGGAGCAGGAGGAGGAGGCUACAGACCAGGAGGAGUUGCUGCUGGAUGCCAAAGCAAAUACUGUGGAAGGCAGAAGUAGAGGAUGUUCUUCAGAAGAAGUUGAACCUCAAGAAACAAUGGUGCUACUGCAUGAUCUAGAAUGUACAUUUUAUAUGCACAAAAUCCCCCAUUACAGUAUGUAAAGAUAUGUUGUACUUUAUUUGACUCAAUAUAUUUUUUAUACAAACCCACCGACCCAGACUUUUGCACAC
RNAcentral lists this long non-coding RNA (3940 nucleotides) under Salmo salar (Atlantic salmon). RNAcentral describes it as "lncRNA (ENSSSAG00000083363.1)". The record is from RNAcentral. Lineage: Eukaryota; Metazoa; Chordata; Actinopteri; Salmoniformes; Salmonidae.